CCCUGUAACGCGCAACCGCAAUUUUUCAAUCGGCGGACCGCGCUCGUCCGGAUCAAUACAGUGGCCUCGAUGCAGUUCACCACGGGGGCCAUCGGGAGAGCCGAAUCCUAAUGGGAAACGCGCCGGACUAUCAAAUUCGGACGCGUGCAGAGUAUCCGGCUAAUUGAUCCAUCGGACGUGUUAUUGGCCGCACACAGCGGAAGAGACGUUCCGCACGGCGGCACAGAGGGGAAGGAAAAGUAGUCGCCAUACUUUGGGCGGAGACUGCGUGACAUUAAGCUCCUCUAUUGGACGAAGGAUCGACCUGGUGCAUCAGCUUGCAUACCCUCCACGCGCCGGCCCAGUAGACGCUUCCUUCCAGAGUCCUUGCCGCGACCGAGGACUGUUGUCCUGGGGAAGGACAGGGUAUUCAUCGCUGAGGAUUAUGCGAAUUCUUUGUUAUUCGUCUUCGAGCUGGAGUAGAAUAUUUAUUGCAGUGCAAUGUUCUCUAUCGGAUUUUCAUACUGGGUGGACCAGCCUCUUUCCACGCCUCGUAAUCAUUUUCAUGAUUCACAUCUCCGGACGAAUAAACAGCGGCCAGCAGCCAGGCCAUUGAUUGCGAGCAAUAUUACUUCCUACGCGAUUACAGGAGCGAUUCGGAGAAACAACCUACGAUACGUGCCGCCGAUUGGGUAACAUGAGGCUACGUGAUUUAGGCAGGAUACUGAUAACGGAUAUGUUCAGCUUGCGUUUCUUUAUUCCUUCGCCUGGGUCACCGCGUGAAAAAGCCACUUUCACACGGCCAACGAUUUCGACAUAGUCCGUCGGCGACGAUAAUGAUUAGACUGCGAAUUUUAUGCAUUGAUAACGUACACCUAAAAAUAAACACCUAAAACUCGGUAAGGUAAUACAGCUUGAAGGUUUGAUAAUUCUUAAGUGAAUUGAAUCAUUAACACGUUGAUUAGCUCACGAUUUUAUAGAGUACAAUACACAGAUUGAAUCGCAUUAUUAUUGCACGUUGAUCUAGCUGAAUAAACAUCGUUUAUUUAAGUGUAUUCGAUUUGCUUGGGAGUCGCCGAUGAUCGGAGCUUCCAAAUUGCUGAAGAACAAUUGCAAUGAAAAACUUGUUUUUAAAUAGAAAUAUUUAGUAACACAAGC
Molecule: long non-coding RNA, 1137 nt
Organism: Nomia melanderi (Alkali bee)
Lineage: Eukaryota; Metazoa; Arthropoda; Insecta; Hymenoptera; Halictidae
Source: RefSeq, a predicted model, not a curated record